CUCUGUGGGGUGAUGGGGUGCAGCAGAUAAAGUAGCAGCCAUCACCACCCCCACGGCCACCAUUAUCUUGCCCCUCCAUCACCAGUGGUCACCUCUGAGCCCGCCCAUCUCCUCCCUCCACCAGGAGCAUCUCCUUCUCGGUCAUCACUGUCAUCACCAUCUUCGCCAUCAUCGUCGUGGAUGAGGCGAUCUCCCCCCAAAGCCAACCUCCUGCCAACUGUUCACUACACUCCCUGUUACUGUGCUUACUGUCCCCUCCUUUCUCGCACAGGUGGCUGAUCAAGAGCCCUCCCUCCUGGAGCUGGAGCCCAGCGGUCUGGGAGAAGGAAGACCAGGGACUGCGGCCAGCGGAGUGUGGAGGGACUUUUGGCCUCAGUGCCGGCAUCCCGUGGGCAGCAGGGAAGUCCCAGUCCAAGCCUGACUCAGAGAGAAAGGGUGGCCCAGAUCUGACAUACCCCAAAGCACCCCCAUUUGCCAUCACCAAGUCCAUCCUCCUCAACAGGCAACAUUACAGCCCUCUCCCUACGGACGGAGGCAGCGGAGGGGUAGGGGUGCAGGGGAAAUGGUCAGGAAACAGGAUAGAUUAACCACUGCUGCGACCUUCUCCCUUUGCCCUUUGUCUGGGCAUGUUUCUAAUCCCUUCUUGAUCUAGAGCCUUGCCUCAUCCUUUGAGAUGCCAAAAAGGGAAACACCAGUGCAGUCAUUUCUAAAGAUGGCCACUAUUAGCCUCUCCCCUCCCGUGGUGGGAUGCCACUCCUCCACCAACGGCCGGUUCGCUCCCCUGCCUGGGAUCCAGGCUGGCCUUGUGGCUGACCCACGGAAUGAGCAGAAAUGGUGGCUCGGGGACCCCAAGCCCGAUAUCAGACUCUAAGACCAAUAGUUUCUGUCUCUUUUCCUUCGGAACGUUCACUCUUUGAAAGCCCCCUCUCUUACAACCCACCUUGCCAUGAGGAGCUCCAGCCACAGGCAUGAGGCCACAUGAUGGGGGAAGAGAUGUGGACUACCAGCAACGUAAGUGAGCCAUCUUGGAUGUUAUAACCCCUUUGGCCAGAUGACCGACCCCCCCCCACACACACACACAAUGACAUCACAAGUAGAAGAAGAACUGCCCGGCUGAGCCCAGUCGCCACAGAAUUGUGACAGCCUGCACUGGUACCAUUGUCUCCAUCACCAGCCAGCCCUGCUGCCUUCGUCAGUCGCCGCCGACUUCACUUCACCGAGGCUGCUAACAAACACCUCCACCUCGAUCAUCACCAUCAGGGCCACAAACAGCCUCCCACUUUCUACAGUGAGCCCAUCAGCCGCACCACUGUUGCUGCCACCUUGACCUCGGUCACCAUCCUGAGUCACCCUUGCCACUCCAGCCCCCAGCACAGCAGGCCGUCAUAGAGGACUACCACGGGAGUUGACCCCAAACGUCCUUCCAACUGGCCCAUGCCUCCCCCGGAGGAGCACAGCACAUGUCCAUGCUCCAUGGCGCUCUUCCCCAAGAGCCCCCUUCUCACCUGACAGAGUGUUGGGGCCACAGCCGGGGACAGCAGCUUUGGAGAGCGAGUUUAAGCAUAGAGGACACUUGGCUGCCUGUGGGGGGCUUGGUGACGAAGAUGGGGGUGGCAAAGAGGAAGAUGAAGAAGGCCAAACCCACGCAGCCCACGGGGAUGCUGUAGCCCAGCAGGAAGCCGACGUUCUGUUGGAUAAAAGCCACCACCAGCAGCGAGAGCACGGCACCCACGUUGAUACUCCAGUAAAGCCAGUUGAAGAAGCGACGGCUGGCAUGGCGACCAAGAUCCAUCACCUGCAGGGCAGGGGUAAGAAUAAGGGAGGACCGGGGGCACCCUGCCACGAGGUCCUGCACCCCCUCUCCCACAGAGGCACUUUCCUGGUCCCUGAUCACUAAAUAGACACUAAAUAAAUAUUGGUUGAUAGAAUGAAUAA
Mustela lutreola (European mink) is the source of this 1935-nucleotide long non-coding RNA. RefSeq lists it as uncharacterized. The transcript has 2 exons. Lineage: Eukaryota; Metazoa; Chordata; Mammalia; Carnivora; Mustelidae. The record is from RefSeq and is a predicted model, not a curated record.